GAUGAAGAACGCAGCGAAAUGCGAUACUUGGUGUGAAUUGCAGAAUCCCGUGAACCAUCGAGUCUUUGAACGCAAGUUGCGCCCGAAGCCAUUAGGCCGAGGGCACGCCUGCCUGGGCGUCACACGUCGUUGCCCCCCCAUCUACUCCUUCGGGAUUGCGGGGGGCGGAUGAUGGCCUCCGUGCGCCUCGUCGCGCGGUUGGCAUAAAUGCCAAGUCCUCGGCGACGCACGCCACGACAAUCGGUGGUUGCGAAACCUCGGUUGCCCGUCGUGUGCGGUCGUCGCGCAUCGAGGGCUCGAAAAAAUUGCCGGGCUCCGGCUCGGCUUUCAACGCGACCCCAGGUCAGGCGGGGUUACCCGCUGAAUUUAAGCAUAUCAAAAGCGGAGGA
RNAcentral lists this unclassified non-coding RNA (389 nucleotides) under soil metagenome. RNAcentral describes it as "partial contains 5.8S ribosomal RNA, internal transcribed spacer 2, and large subunit ribosomal RNA". The stretch from base 1 to 122 matches the Rfam family "5.8S ribosomal RNA", at positions 35 to 154 of the family's 154-position model. The record is from RNAcentral.